Molecule: small RNA, 29 nt
Filed under: Bombyx mori (domestic silkworm)
Lineage: Eukaryota; Metazoa; Arthropoda; Insecta; Lepidoptera; Bombycidae
Description: piRNA piR-bmo-1924822
Source: RNAcentral
UAGUCGCUCGUACUUCCCACUGGCUGGAG